UAUAAGGGAUUUUGAGUUUUUGCUUGUAACGUUUGACCGCUCGUCUUAUUCAAUUUUUUUUAAAUUAUUAUUUAUUUUAUUUGUGACUUACUUUAUUAUCCACAGUACUUUAAGCACAACUUUUCGUUUUUUAUAUUUGCAAAAAAAUUGAAUAAGACGAGUGGUCAAACGUUACAAAGAAAAACUCAAAAUCUCUUAUA
RNAcentral lists this microRNA precursor (200 nucleotides) under Oryza barthii. RNAcentral describes it as "MIR812 microRNA precursor family". It matches the Rfam family "MIR812 microRNA precursor family". Lineage: Eukaryota; Viridiplantae; Streptophyta; Magnoliopsida; Poales; Poaceae. The record is from Rfam by way of RNAcentral.